Molecule: ribosomal RNA, 253 nt
Filed under: uncultured bacterium
Lineage: Bacteria
Description: partial 16S ribosomal RNA
Rfam family: Bacterial small subunit ribosomal RNA
Source: RNAcentral
AACGUAGGGGGCGAGCGUUAUCCGGAAUUACUGGGCGUAAAGGGCUCGUAGGCGGCCAACUAAGUCAGACGUGAAAUCCCUCGGCUUAACCGGGGAACUGCGUCUGAUACUGGAUGGCUAGAGUUUGGGAGAGGGAUGCGGAAUUCCAGGUGUAGCGGUGAAAUGCGUAGAUAUCUGGAGGAACACCGGGGGCGAAGGCGGCAUCCUGGACCAACACUGACGCUGAGGAGCGAAAGCCAGGGGAGCAAACGGG